Merops nubicus (carmine bee-eater) is the source of this 91-nucleotide non-coding RNA. Lineage: Eukaryota; Metazoa; Chordata; Aves; Coraciiformes; Meropidae. The record is from Rfam.
UGCAGAUGAUGUUGUUCUCACGAUGGUCUUCCAAGCCUCAUGGUGAAGGGGCUUUGACGACGAUGCCGUACGGCUUGGCUGAUGCCUGGCA